UACGAAGGGGGCUAGCGUUGCUCGGAAUCACUGGGCGUAAAGCGCACGUAGGCGGUUUGUUAAGUCAGGGGUGAAAUCCUGGAGCUCAACUCCAGAACUGCCUUUGAUACUGGCGAUCUCGAGUCCGGGAGAGGUGAGUGGAACUGCGAGUGUAGAGGUGAAAUUCGUAGAUAUCGGGAGGAACACCGGUGGCGAAGGCGGCAUCCUGGACCAACACUGACACUGAGGAGCGAAAGCCAGGGGAGCAAACGGG
This 253-nucleotide ribosomal RNA is filed under the name uncultured bacterium. RNAcentral's name for it is "partial 16S ribosomal RNA". It matches the Rfam family "Bacterial small subunit ribosomal RNA", at positions 524 to 776 of the family's 1533-position model. The record is from RNAcentral.